UACGUAGGUGACAAGCGUUGUCCGGAUUUACUGGGCGUAAAGAGCGCGCAGGCGGUCGAUCAAGUCGAGUGUGAAAGCCCCCGGCUCAACUGGGGAGGGUCAUUCGAUACUGAUCGACUCGAAGGCAGGAGAGGGUAGUGGAAUUCCCGGUGUAGUGGUGAAAUUCGUAGAUAUUCGGAGGAACACCAGUGGCGAAGGCGGCUCACUGGUCCGGUACUGACGCUGAGGUGCGAAAGCGUGGGGAGCAAACAGG
This 253-nucleotide ribosomal RNA is filed under the name uncultured bacterium. RNAcentral describes it as "partial 16S ribosomal RNA". It matches the Rfam family "Bacterial small subunit ribosomal RNA", at positions 524 to 776 of the family's 1533-position model. The record is from RNAcentral.